This 466-nucleotide ribosomal RNA is filed under the name uncultured bacterium. RNAcentral's name for it is "partial 16S ribosomal RNA". It matches the Rfam family "Bacterial small subunit ribosomal RNA", at positions 339 to 795 of the family's 1533-position model. The record is from RNAcentral.
CUACGGGCCGCUGCAGUGGGGAAUAUUGGACAAUGGGCGAAAGCCUGAUCCAGCCACGCCGCGUGUGUGAUGAAGGUCUUCGGAUCGUAAAGCACUGUGGGGGGGGACGAACAAGUUGGUGGAAUAAUACCCACCAGCCCUGACGGUACCUCCUUAGCAAGCACCGGCUAACUCCGUGCCAGCAGCCGCGGUAAUACGGAGGGUGCAAACGUUGCUCGGAAUCAUUGGGCGUAAAGCGCGUGUAGGCGGCAAGUUAAGUCGGAUGUGAAAGCCCUGGGCUUAACCCAGGAAGUGCGUCCGAUACUGGCUCGCUGGAGUACGGGAGAGGGUUGCGGAAUUCCCGGUGUAGAGGUGAAAUUCGUAGAGAUCGGGAGGAACACCUGUGGCGAAGGCGGCAACCUGGACCGAUACUGACGCUGAGACGCGAAAGCGUGGGUAGCAAACAGGAUUAGAUACCCUCGUAGUC